ACGAACGCUGGCGGCAGGCCUAACACAUGCAAGUCGCGCGAGGACUUCGGUCCUAGCGGCGGACGGGUGAGUCACGCGUGGGAACGUGCCCUUUGCUUCGGAAUAGCCCUGGGAAACUGGGAGUAAUACCGGAUGAGCCCUUUGGGGGAAAGAUUUAUCGGCGAAGGAUCGGCCCGCGUUGGAUUAGGUAGUUGGUGGGGUAAUGGCCUACCAAGCCGACGAUCCAUAGCUGGUUUGAGAGGAUGAUCAGCCACACUGGGACUGAGACACGGCCCAGACUCCUACGGGAGGCAGCAGUGGGGAAUCUUAGACAAUGGGGGAAACCCUGAUCUAGCCAUGCCGCGUGAGCGAUGAAGGCCUUAGGGUUGUAAAGCUCUUUCAGCUGGGAAGAUAAUGACGGUACCAGCAGAAGAAGCCCCGGCUAACUCCGUG
Molecule: ribosomal RNA, 432 nt
Filed under: uncultured bacterium
Lineage: Bacteria
Description: partial 16S ribosomal RNA
Rfam family: Bacterial small subunit ribosomal RNA
Source: RNAcentral